Molecule: long non-coding RNA, 6742 nt
Filed under: Nicotiana benthamiana
Lineage: Eukaryota; Viridiplantae; Streptophyta; Magnoliopsida; Solanales; Solanaceae
Description: long non-coding RNA (NBEN_LNC039215)
Source: RNAcentral
UUGUUACGAUCCAAAAUUCUAACCCCUCCGUUAUAAUACCUAACACACUUGCCAGGCAAGUUAACAAUUACAUAACAUCUAAACAUUCGAAUAAAGCAUGUUUUAAUAAACUGAACAACGAAAAUCUCAUGCAUAUCUAGUACAAAUAACCGAAAUACUACUACAACUAUCCCAAAAUUCGGUGUCAACGAGUACAUAAGCACUACUAAGUAUCAACAUGUGACGACCCAGCCGUUCGUCUUAAGAAUUAAUGUUCCGAUCCCCUAUUAACUGCUUUUUCCAAGUCUAUUUUUGCUAAUUUGCUUUGCCGGGAAGUUCGGUUUUGAGUUUUGAAGAGUUUUGGGACACUUAGUCCCUAAAUGACAACUUAAGUAUUGGAAUAUUAUCCGUAGUUGGAACAGUAUGAAGAUAACCUCGGAAUGGAAAUUUGAUGGUUUUGUUAGCUCCAUUAGGUGAUGGCGCGGUUGGGAGCGUGUUCGAAAUGUGGUUUGGAGGUUCAUAGCUUAUUUAGGCUUGAAAUGCCGAAGUUUGAAUUUUUUUAAGUUUCCGGUCUGAUAGUGAAAUUUUUAUCCGAGUGUCGAAAUGGAAUUUUGAAAGCUGCAGUAGUUCCGUCAUAUCAUUUGAGAUGUGCGUGUAAAAUUUCAGGUCAUUCGGACGAGGUUUGAUAGACUUUUUGCUCGAAAAUGCGUUUUAGAGUUUUUUUAUGUUUUUAAGGUUGAAUUCAAUGAAAAAUAGGUGUUUUGAUGUUAUUUUGAGCGUUCUGAAGGUUGGAACACGUUUGAAUGAUGUCAUGAGAUAUGACCGUAGGUUUGGUUGAGGUCCCUAGGACCUCGGGUGUGUUUCGGAUGCUCAACAGGGCAUUUUGAGUUGAAAUAAAUUUGCAGAUUUUGCUUUAGGUUUGUUGCAGACAUUUUCUUCUUCGCGAUCGCAUCCCCCUUCUUCGCGUUCGCAACUAUUUUUCCGCAUUCGCAUAGUAGAAAUUGGAGCUGGUACUUCAUUGCAUUUUCCUCUUUGUGAUUGCAUGGCCUUGAUCGCGAUCGCAUAAGUCUGUUUCUUCCUCUUCUGUGAUCGCGUGCCUUAAGCUGCAUUUGAAUAGUUCAUUUCUGGAACCUUUAAAUUUUACUCUUCAUGAUCGCGGAUGAUUUCCUGCAAUCGCAUUGAACAAAAUUACCUAGGCAUAAAUAAGAUUUCAAAAUCGAGUGUUUAGCCAUUUUUUGCAAAACUUAAGCUUGAGAGUUCGAAUUUGAGCGAUAUUUCGAGGGAUUUUAAGAGAUAUCGAUUUGGUAACGAUUCUAAAUUCCUGUUUUCUUGUAAUCCACUAAUCUAAGUGUGAAUUCCUCCUUUAAUUUUAGAUUUUGAAUGAAAAAUUAAUAAAACAUCUUAGACUGAAUUAUUGAGUCUUGAGUGAGUUUUUGACACCCGAUUUGGGAGAUUUAUAUAUGGUUGGACUCGUGAGAGUACGAGAAUUCUAAAAAUAUUAAUUUCACCCGAUUCUGAGAUAUUUUCUUGAGGGGCAUUUUGGUUAUUUUACCUAAUUUCGCGUCUGUGCUUUGAAUUAAAUCGUAGAAUUAGUUGCUUGAGAUGUUAUUUACAAUAUAUAAUUGAAUUGAAUAGAUUUGAGCCAUUUGGAGUGGAAUCCUUAUGGAAAACGUGUGGUUUCGAGUUGAUUUUGGAGUCGGUUGGAGGUAAGUGGCUUGUUGUGUGGGGGAUCUUCCUCUUAGAAUAUGAUUUUUUGUAAUUGAAUGCCUUGUACAUGAGGUGAAAAAUGCGUACUUGAACUAAUUUUGGAAAAUUCGAUUUUGCAUUAAGUAUUUAAAUUGAAUUUUUUUCUUACCUGCUUUAUUCUAUUUUUAAUUAUAGCAUGUGUUAGUUUAGAAAAACAUGCUUAGUUGACCUAAAUUGCCUAUUUUCUUAAGUUAUUUUGAAUGCAUUACGUGAAGUAUGUUAGGCUAGAACUACCUAUUGCCUUGUUAUUGAACACUAUUUCUGAAUAUCUUCUUGUGUGGCUCUGUAUUUAUAUUGGGACUACGGAUGUGGGAUUCUGGUAGCUCUCCCCCUUGUUUGUUUACUUUGGAACUAUGAGUUAGAUUCCCGGUAGAUCCCCUUACACAUUUACUUUGGGACUACAGGUUAGAUUCCUGGUAGAUCCCCCCCUGCACAUUUACUUUGGGACUAUGGAUCGGAUAUGGUAGAUCCCCGUGCAGUGAUAGUCGGACUACGGGACGGUAUCCCGGGAGAUCCUUUGGACAGUUUAUGAAAGGGACUAUAGGAAUGUAUUCUGGGAGAUCCUCAUUGUUGCUACUUGUACUGAGAUAUUUUUACUCUGUGUUCCCUGUUCCUUGCGUAUAUAUUGUUGCCUUAUAUAACCUAUCUUAUUUCAUUGUUUUUCUCAUUUAUAUUGUUUAUUUUAUACUAUUGAAACUUAUUUUUAUUAUUAACCUCAGUAGGGCCCUGACCUUCCUCGUCACUACCCGACCGAGGUUAGGCUUGGCACUUACUGAGUACCACUAUGGUGUACUUAUGCCCCUUCUACGCAUGUUUUUCAUGUGCAGAUCUAGGUACUUCUACCCAGGUGUAUCCACCUUGAGGCAGAUAGAUCUAGCAGAGACUUCAAGAUACAUCUGCUGCAUCCGCCGACCAAGGAGUCUCUAUCUUAUUCUAUCUUUUAGUAAUCAACUUCCUUCUUAAUGUUGUUUUAGACGUUUUGGAGUUAGAGCAUUGUACUACAUUUCUUUCAUCUUUUGUUCAUGUUGAGUUUUCGGGUUUUAGGAUAAUAUUGUAGACUUCCUUGAUGUUGAGUUAUAGAUUUUAAGCGGUAUUUAUAUACAAUUUUCUUCUAGUUGUUCAGUUUUGAAUUAUUUACUUUCGCAAGUUAUUUUGUUUUCGCAUUUUUAGGCUUACCUAGUCGUAGGGACUAGGUGUCGUCACGACAUGCUCAUGGAGGGAGAACUGGAGUCGUGACAAGUUAGUAUCAGAGCUCUAGGUUCAUAGGAGUCCCGAAACAUAGCUCGGUUUAUUAGAAUCUCACUGAUCAGUACGGAGACGUCUGUACUUAUCUACGAAGGGCUAUUUAACGGUUAGGAAAAUUCCACUUCAUUUGAUUUCAUGGUCGUGCAAGAUUUUGAUAUCACAGCUAAAUUUCUGUCUUUCUAUUCUCUUAUAGAUGGUGAGGACACGUGCCACUUAAGACGAUCAGGCACCCAUACUCCCUAAUGGAGCCGUCAGAGGUCGGGCUUGGGGUAGAGGUCGAGGGCGUGCAUGUGGUGCAGCCAGAGCACCUGCGCGAGCUGCCGCCGAGGUACCACCAGUAGAUCCAGUUGGAGUCGAGGCACCUGACACGCCUACUACCACUGAUACCACUAGACUAGCACAGUUCAUGAGCAUGUACACCACUUUUGCUUAAGUAGGGUUGCUUCCCCUUGUUGCACCCACAUCCUAGGCCGGGGAGGAGCACAGACUCCAGCUGCCCACACUCCUAAGCAGCGAGUUCCUGCUAAGCAGGUCCCCGAGAUUAUUCCAAUACCACCUGAAAUACAUGUUUAGCCCGAAGACAAGAUAGCGGCUUCGAGGAGAAGCAACUGAGGCUUGAGAGGUUCGAGAAGUACAAGCCUCUUGUAUUUAGUGGUCUAGAAUAGGAGGAUGCUCUGGGUUUUCUUGAUGAGUGCUUUCGCAUUUCCGUACCAUGGGUAUUUCGAGAUUCAGCGGAGUUUCUUUCACUACUUUUCAGCUCUGAGGGGUUGCCUAUGAGUGGUGGUGCACCUAUGAGUUAGAUAGUCCAGAUAAGGCUGCUUUACUGACUUGGACUUACUUUUCUGAUCUAUUCCUGAAAGAGUAUAUUCCUCAUAGAUGCAGGGAUGUAUGGCGCACAGAGUUUGAGUAUUUGCUCUAGGGUGCUAUGACUGUUUUAGAGUAUGCUGCCUGUUACACCAGUUUGGCUAGGCAUGCACCAGCCUUGGCUGCUACUGUUUGCGAGAGGAUUCGCUGGCUUAUUGAGGGGCUUACUCGUAUCAUCAGAUCUAGCAUGGCUCGUGAGUUAGAGAUGGAUAUUUCUUAUCAGCACGUGGUGAGCAGUCCUAGAAGGAUUGAGGGUAUACAUUCUAGGGAGAGGGAUGAGCGAGAGAGGUCAAGAGGUCUCGUGAGUCAGGCCAUUAUUCUGCGCCCGCACCCCAGUUGUAGGUCAUCAUGCAAGGGGUUAUAUGAGUCGCCCAUUUCAUUCAACUUUUCCAGCAGCCAGCAAUGCUCCAGCUCCUCCUAGGCCUCAAGAGCCUUAUUAUCCACGUGCAGUUUCUAGCAUGCCUCCUACGCGUGGUGUUUCCAGAGGUCAAUCCAGCAGAUUUUGUCCUAGCUAGUUGCACCACCACAUCUUCCCAAAGCUUGUUUUCAGUGUGGUGACACAUGCCAUAUGGUUAGGGAUUGCCCUAGACUUGGGCGGGGUGCAUCUUCAAAGACUUCUCAGCUGUAGCGUGCCCCGAAGAUUUCACAAGCUAUACAGCUCCAGUUGCCGCCCCGCCUAUUCAGCUAGCUAGAGGUGGUGGCCGGGGAGGUAGAGGUCACCCUCGAGGGGGAGACCAGGCCAUAUACUAUGACCUUCUUGCUCGUGCCGAGGAUGUUGCUUCCGAUUCUGUUAUCAUGAGCAUUAUACAGGUUUGUCACAGAGAUGCAUCAUUUCUAUUCAAUCCAGGCUCUACUUACUCUUAUUUGUCUUAUUAUUUCCCUCCUCAUUUGGCUGUACCCCGAGAUUCCUUGAGUUCUCCUGUGUAUGCAAACAUAAGUGGAAACAUUAAAGGAUUAAAAUAGUUCAGGAUUGAAAUAACAAUGAAAAGCAUCCCGAGAACAACGACAUAGUCACAAAGCAUGAAUUCACAUUGCCUAGAGUCAACAGGAGGAGUUUUAACCUUGUACUCAAUCAAGAACAGACAAGAUCCAUUAAUUCAACAAAGGUUUCUUAUGGUCUUGGUCCACUAACUAAUACUAGGUGAACACACAACCUUGUACCGUUCAUAAGUUAGUUUGUUGGAUAAAACAGUCACACAUAAAAGCAAGCAAGUUGAAGGAAUAGGUACUGUGAUUUAAUCCUAUGUUUAUUAUGGAUGAACAUCUAUAAUAGGAAAAAAUCAUUGGUCUAAUGACAUAGGGGUAGACUCAUAGAUAUAUUGUAAGCAAGACAUCACAAACGUAGUGAAUAGAAACAGGCAGGUUGACAUGCUGAAAAUAGGACCCUCUAGGUUUAACCAUAUGUAAGCAAGAAUGUUGAUUAAUGCAUUAGCAUAUAUCACAUAAGUCUUAGAAAUAGGCAUACUAAUACCACGGAAACAUACUAAUUAAAACAACAUGAAAGUAAACAUGCUAGGACAGGAAACACACAAAUCUUGAAAACAGACAAUGUAGAAAUUUGAAGGUAGGGACAAACCACAUAGAUCUUAGUUAAGAGGGAUGCUAAUAUCAGGGAAACAUACUGAUUCAACGACAUGAAAGCAUGCAUGUUGAGAACAAGAAACAUACUGAAUUAGUAACGUACAAGUGAUCAUGUUCAGCAGGAAGUACAUAAACCAAGUCAUACAGAUGUCAGAAUAGUAAUAAAGUGAGACAUAUCGUUUAGGAAUUUGCAGUAUGAGAGUGAGGUAAAUAGGAUCCAAGAUCUAGCCUUGGCUUUCAUCCGGCUAGACAGUGCAAUAGACAAAUAAUAGUAGAGAGCAAGAGCUUUUAGAGGUGUUGUUCCUUAGGUCUAUGUAUGCGUUUGAAUAUGGUCAUGUAUUUAUAGGAGUCUGAGUAGUGUAAAGUAAAUAAAGCAAAGAAAUCAAUCAAACAUUCAAUCAAGCUUGACAUGGCAGAAAAUCACGGAGACAUACCCAAAAAUAACUUUGGUUGAGUUUUAAAUAAGGCAAGAAGUGAUUCAAACAACUAGUUAGGGUCAUAACACCAUAAAUCAAAUAAUUAACCACACAAAUAAGGUGACAUAAAUAAUAAGAGACCAAUCUGGGAUCAAACACCCCUUAAAAUAAGCUUAAUAGGCGAGGAAUGUCAAUUAGGAAUCUCAAAACUGAGGAAAGCGGGUAAAAUAUGGUAAAUCAUCUCAGCAAAACAUGAAAGCUUAGAUGGUUGAGUAAUUCAAGCAACUAUCUAAAAAUAAUGGGCGGAAUAUUAAAGUGAACAACGAACAAUCAAAUAACUAAGACUGGAACAUAAUCAUUAAAGAAAGAUUAAUCAAACACAUAAUGAAUUUUAGAAAAGCCUUUUUCAAAAAUAGACGAAGUGGAACUUCAUUUUGAAAAACAUUAAGAGUCUAUUAACAGAAAAGAAAUAAGAGAUCUUUAAAGAAAAAUCGCUGACAAACUCACAAUCACUCCACAUCUUCAAAGAUCUCGACAGAUUUAUGUCUAAAAGAUUAGGGUGUUGAGGAAAGAGGUAGGAUAAAGAGAAUCUUGUUUUGAACCAAGCAAUCGAACCAUAAACUCAAGAUGAUUGCACUCACAAAAGGAAGUGACCAUCGACAGACUUCUUAAAUAGUCUCAAACAAGAUCUGUGCUACAUCUCUUUGAUAUCUCUUUCAUAAUAUCGUAAAAUUGAACAAUCAGAAGAAGCAUGAGACCAGUAGAGGUCUGAAACAACCAUGGAAUCCCAUGGAAUAGGUAAAAAUUGAAGGGAUUCAGGAUACGUUUAGGUGGCGGCGAUUAGUGUUAGGGUUGGUCUUAGACGGAACCAGAGAAGAGGGUAUUCAAGGGCGGCUGGUAUAUGAAGAAUG